CACGGGGGGAGCAAGCGUUGUUCGGAAUCACUGGGCGUAAAGGGCGUGUAGGCGGUCUGGUAAGUGGGAUGUGAAAGCCCCCGGCUCACCCGGGGAUCUGCAUUCCAAACUGCCAGACUUGAGUAUGGGAGAGGACAGGGGAAUUCCUGGUGUAGCGGUGAAAUGCGUAGAUAUCAGGAGGAACACCGGUGGCGAAGGCGCCUGUCUGGCCCAAUACUGACGCUGAGGCGCGAAAGCUAGGGGAGCAAACGGG
This 253-nucleotide ribosomal RNA is filed under the name uncultured bacterium. RNAcentral's name for it is "partial 16S ribosomal RNA". It matches the Rfam family "Bacterial small subunit ribosomal RNA", at positions 524 to 776 of the family's 1533-position model. The record is from RNAcentral.